This 399-nucleotide ribosomal RNA is filed under the name uncultured bacterium. RNAcentral's name for it is "bacterial SSU rRNA". It matches the Rfam family "Bacterial small subunit ribosomal RNA", at positions 356 to 772 of the family's 1533-position model. The record is from RNAcentral.
GGGGAAUAUUGGACAAUGGGCGCAAGCCUGAUCCAGCCAUGCCGCGUGAGUGAUGAAGGCCUUAGGGUUGUAAAGCUCUUUCGCCGGUGAAGAUAAUGACGGUAACCGGAGAAGAAGCCCCGGCUAACUUCGUGCCAGCAGCCGCGGUAAUACGAAGGGGGCUAGCGUUGUUCGGAAUUACUGGGCGUAAAGCGCACGUAGGCGGAUGUUUAAGUCGGGGGUGAAAUCCCAGGGCUCAACCUUGGAACUGCCUUUGAAACUAUCGGUCUGGAGUUCGAGAGAGGUGAGUGGAAUUCCGAGUGUAGAGGUGAAAUUCGUAGAUAUUCGGAGGAACACCAGUGGCGAAGGCGGCUCACUGGCUCGAUACUGACGCUGAGGUGCGAAAGCGUGGGGAGCAAA